This 488-nucleotide ribosomal RNA is filed under the name uncultured bacterium. RNAcentral describes it as "partial 16S ribosomal RNA". It matches the Rfam family "Bacterial small subunit ribosomal RNA", at positions 28 to 507 of the family's 1533-position model. The record is from RNAcentral.
GACGAACGCUGGCGGCGUGCUUAACACAUGCAAGUCGAACGAAAAUACCAAGCUUGCUUGGUUGAUUAGUGGCGAACGGGUGAGUAACACGUGAGUAACCUGCCCCUUACUUUCCUGGAUAACUGCUCGAAAGGGUAGCUAAUACGGGAUAUUCUGACCAGCCUGCAUGGGUUGGUUUGGAAAGGUUGUUUUUCUGGUAAGGGAUGGGCUCGCGGCCUAUCAGCUUGUUGGUGGGGUGAUGGCCUACCAAGGCUUUGACGGGUAGCCGGCCUGAGAGGGUGAACGGUCACACUGGGACUGAGAUACGGCCCAGACUCCUACGGGAGGCAGCAGUGGGGAAUAUUGCACAAUGGGCGCAAGCCUGAUGCAGCGACGCCGCGUGAGGGAUGAAGGCCUUCGGGUUGUAAACCUCUUUCGUCAGGGAACAAGGCACUGCUUUUUUGGUGGUGUUGAGGGUACCUGGAUAAGAAGCGCCGGCUAACUACGUG